RNAcentral lists this ribosomal RNA (420 nucleotides) under uncultured crenarchaeote. RNAcentral's name for it is "bacterial SSU rRNA". It matches the Rfam family "Archaeal small subunit ribosomal RNA", at positions 459 to 879 of the family's 1478-position model. The record is from RNAcentral. Lineage: Archaea; Thermoproteati; Thermoproteota.
CAGCCGCCGCGGUAAUACCAGCUUCUCGAGCGGUGGGGGCGAUUAUUGGGCCUAAAGCGUCCGUAGCCCGCUUGUUAAGUCCUCCGAUAAAUCCGGCGAUUCAAUCGCUGGACCGCGGAGGAUACUGGUAAGCUAGGGGGCGGAAGAGGCUGGCGGUAUUCUUAGGGUAGGGGCGAAAUCCUAUAAUCCUAGGAGGACCACCAGUGGCGAAGGCUGCUCACUAGAACACGCCUGACGGUCAGGGACGAAAGCUGGGGCAGCGAACCGGAUUAGAUACCCGGGUAGUCCCAGCUGUAAACGAUGCUAGCUAGGUGUUGGGUCGGCCACGCGCCGCCCCAGUGCCGCAGGGAAGCCGUUAAGCUAGCCGCCUGGGGAGUACGGCCGCAAGGCUGAAACUUAAAGGAAUUGGCGGGGGAGCAC